Molecule: ribosomal RNA, 252 nt
Filed under: uncultured prokaryote
Description: partial 16S rRNA
Rfam family: Bacterial small subunit ribosomal RNA
Source: RNAcentral
ACCGGCGGCUCGAGUGGUAACCGUUAUUAUUGGGUCUAAAGGGUCUGUAGCCGGCCGGAUAAGUCUCUUGAGAAAUCCAGCAGCUCAACUGUUGGGCUUUCAGGGGAUACUGUUUGGCUUGAGUCGGGGAGAGGUAAGGGGUACUUCUGGGGUAGGGGUGAAAUGAGUAGAUAUCAGGAGGAACGACAGUGGCGUAGGCGGCUGACUGGGCAUAUACUGACGCUGAGACGCGAAAGCGUUGGUAGCAAACAG